Molecule: ribosomal RNA, 638 nt
Filed under: uncultured bacterium
Lineage: Bacteria
Description: bacterial SSU rRNA
Rfam family: Bacterial small subunit ribosomal RNA
Source: RNAcentral
GCGAAAGCGUUAAGCAUCCCACCUGGGGAGUACGCCGGCAACGGUGAAACUCAAAGGAAUUGACGGGGGCCCGCACAAGCGGAGGAACAUGUGGUUUAAUUCGAUGAUACGCGAGGAACCUUACCCGGGCUUGAAUUGCAGGAGAACGAUCCAGAGAUGGUGAGGUCCUUCGGGACUCCUGUGAAGGUGCUGCAUGGUUGUCGUCAGCUCGUGCCGUGAGGUGUCGGCUUAAGUGCCAUAACGAGCGCAACCCCUUUCCUCAGUUGCCAUCAGUUCGAGCUGGGCACUCUGGGGACACUGCCACCGCAAGGUGUGAGGAAGGUGGGGAUGACGUCAAAUCAGCACGGCCCUUACGUCCGGGGCUACACACGUGUUACAAUGGGGGGUACAGAGAGCCGGUGGCGCGCAAGCUCCAUCCAAUCCUUAAAGCCCUCCUCAGUUCGGACUGGGGUCUGCAACCCGACCCCACGAAGCUGGAUUCGCUAGUAAUCGCGCAUCAGCCAUGGCGCGGUGAAUACGUUCCCGGGCCUUGUACACACCGCCCGUCAAGCCAUGAAAGCCGGGGGUGCCUGAAGUCCGUGACCGGAAGGAUCGGCCUAGGGCAAAACUGGUGAUUGGGGCUAAGUCGUAACAAGGUA